This is a long non-coding RNA of Hibiscus syriacus, 223 nucleotides long. RefSeq lists it as uncharacterized. The transcript has 4 exons. Lineage: Eukaryota; Viridiplantae; Streptophyta; Magnoliopsida; Malvales; Malvaceae. The record is from RefSeq and is a predicted model, not a curated record.
GGGGACUUAGAGGACUUGUCUUGAGACCAAAUAUUCUUGCUUGUUGUAGUACAAUGGCACUUGAUGAUAAUGUCAAGUUAAAGCUCUCUCCGUUUUGCCAUGUUCCGGCCGAAAAUACUGUCACUCUCUAUGACGUUCCAAAUAUUUGGCACAUUCCUUUACUACUAAGAUAAUCUUGAAGAACAAACUUCAACAAAAAGCGGCUUCUUCAAUAGACUGGCAC